Molecule: RNA transcript, 7806 nt
Organism: Nycticebus coucang (slow loris)
Lineage: Eukaryota; Metazoa; Chordata; Mammalia; Primates; Lorisidae
Gene name: methyl-CpG-binding domain protein 4-like
Exons: 1
Source: RefSeq, a predicted model, not a curated record
CGAGGACCUGAGCAUUCCAGGUCCACAAAAUCAGAGGACAGCUAUCCCUUUGUGGCCCAGCCUGCUCAGGGCUAGCCUGUCCCAGAGCACCUAUGGAGAGGCUAUGACCCAAGGCCCCAAAUCCUGAGGACAGGAGAAUCUCCAACCCAGAGGAAGGACAAUGCCAUGUUGUGGAAGGAGCUUGGGGUGGAUCAGGGGUCUCCCAAGACCCACAGGAGCUUCGGGUGGAUCAGGGGACUCCAGCAUAAUAGGGGACGCUAGGAAGCUGGGUGGGGGUGCUAGAGUCAGAGGAGAAACCACAGCCACCUGGAUGUCACAGAAGACUUUUGGUUCUAGGCCCCAGAAUAGACCUGGGACUUGUGUGUGUCUUUGAUGACUCCCGCACUGUCCACCCCAGGACGGCAUUCUUUACUCCCUGAAGCUCCAGCGGUUCUCAACUUCUCCAACAUCCACACUGUUCAAGAGGCGCAGUCCUAAAUAACAGCUGCUUUCCCCAAAACAUGGGCUCCCACCCCAUGCCCAAGAAGACCCUUAGCUUCAUGCAAGAUUCCAAUCACUUUCUUUAAAAUAAAGAAAUCUGGCAGGGCAGUGCCUGUGGUUCAGUGAGUAGGGUGCCGGCCCCAUACACCGAGGGUGGCAGGUUCAAACCCGGCCCCACCCAAACUACAACAAAAAAAUAGCCAGACAUUGUGACGGGUGCCUGUAGUCCCAGCUACUCGGGAGGCUGAGGCAAGAGAAUUGCCUAAACCCAGGAGGUGGAGGUUGCUGUGAGCUGUGCGACGCCUCGGCACUCUACCAAGGGCGACAGCAUGAGGCUCUGUCUCUAUUAAAAAAAAAAAAAAGAAAGAAAAGAAAGAAAAAAAAAGAAAUCUGGGGGAAAAAAAUGUGCCCCAACACAUCUGCACACCCUCAGAUCAUAGGACAUGGCUCAGAGCCCCUGGGUGGGAAAGAAGGAUCCUGUUUCCAUCUUAAACACAUCCCAGGGAACACACUGGAUUCUGCCCCUUGUUCCGGGAACCUCCCCAUUUCUCCCCCCAACACUCUGCUCUGCCCUGGACCCAGCUGGGCUCUAGGCACUGACAGCCUGGGUUUGAACUCUGAUCCAUCACCUCCCAACUGUGGGUGUCCAGACAAGUUACUCACUGUCCCCUUGUCUAUACUACCGGGCCAUUUGCUAACAGCACUCAGCACAGGGCCCAAACGCUCCACACAUUGGAGUUGAGGUUUGUACCACUGUCCUCUCUCCCCGCCACCCCAUCCUUUCCCACUUUCUCCACUAUCUUGCCAUAUGUGGCUCCAACCAGAGCCCGUGACCUCUUGACUACAGGCAGGCCCUGGUGGGCAGUCUGGGCUAACGCUCACUAUUCUUUCAGUCUCAGCUCAGGCUCCCAAAAGGAAGCUUUCUCUGUCACAGGCUUCACAGGCGUCCACAGCUUCAUUCAUCAUGGCCUGUUCACCUGACUGCAAAUACUGAGGUCAGGGCGCUGCCCUUCAUCUCUGUCCCCAGUGCCUGACACACAGGUAUUGAUCCAUUUAGCAAAUAUUUAUUGAAUAUCGAGUCCUCACUGUGUCAUCCUACAUCAGGACAUCAUUUUUCCCAGGAUCCUCCUCGGGACAGUCUCACUGGUCAUCCUACUUGGAGAUCUUACACAAAGGGUUGGGGAGAUGAUCAAGAGUCUGGGGACUUGGCUUGGUGCCUGUAGUUCAGUGGUUAGGGCACUGGCCACGUGCACAGGGCUGGUGGGUUCAAACCCAGCCAGAACUUGCUAAACAAUAACAACAAUACCAAAAAAAUAGCCGAGUGUUGUGGUGGGUGCCUGUAGUCCCAGCUACUUGGGAGACUGAGGCAAGAGAAUUGCUUAAGCCCAAGAGUUUGACGUUGCUGUGAGCUGUGAUGCUACAGCACUUACCGAGGGUGACAUAGUGAGACUCUGUCUCAAAAAAAAAAAAAAAAAAAGAGUCUGGGGACUUAAAAGGUGGGGAGGAGACUACAGGGCAGGGCUGGGUGGCAGCAACUCUGGUGAAUGACAUGGCCUUGUGUUCCUUAUUUUCUGCCAGGUCCUGACUUUAGCUCUUCCUCCUUCUACCCGCAAGCCCACAGCUUAGUCACAUUGUGUUGCCUCCUGCCCCUGGGCUCCCUUCCUGCCCCUGCUUGCAGGUCCAGCCUGGGGUUAGGCCCUGCGCCCUUCCCCUGUGUGAUUCAGGUCCCCGGGAGGCAUUUCAUACUGGAUCCCAGGGAUGAGAUGUCUAGAUUUUGCUCAACCCAUCCUAGGGUCUUCUCACUACUAAGAAAUCCUUGCUGGACUCUAAAACACAACUUUCUUGCUUAAGUUACUUCCUUUGGCUCGAAAACAGGGAGGGGAGUGCUGGGAGCAGGCUGGGCAGAGAGGCAACUUCAAGGAGACAGCGGGGGAGGAGAGGACCAGGCUGGAUCUGGGCCUGGAGGCGCAGGCUGGCCCUGGCUAGAAGAGGAGGGCCCAGGAGGGCUGCUAAUGAUUGGGAAAUGCAGAGGGGAAUGGGAAGCAAAAGUGCCAGAAUACAGGGGGCCCAAGGCCAGAUAAUCUGACACCCUGUGGGUCAGAAGGCCAAGUAGGGGGUGGGAGUGGCUUUCGCCCAAGUCUGGAAGUGUUCUGUGGGCAUGGGUGGGAGGCUGGGAGGUCCUGAGGAGACAGCUCCCCUUCCAGUGGUGGGGCCCCUUCAUCAUGGGCUCAGAGGGCUGUGGUCUGCCCUUCUUGCCCCCCCUCUAGGCAAAUCACCACCCCAUUUCCUGUGGUGAUUUUAAAAACACACACACACACACACACACACACACACACGCACGCACACAUGACGGGAAAAGUGAAGUUAGCCAUUUAGCAAGCUGGACUUAGGGACCCAUUUCGCAACCUUGUUGCCUGUAGCCUAGGGGGCCUUUCCAGACAUCCCUGCCCACCUCCUUCAUCUCCAGGCAGCAGGGUGCAGGGGGGGAAACACUAGCAUCUCCCAGGGCCCCUCUGGACCAUACUCUCACACACAAUCCAAAAUCGGUAAGCAACUUCAGCGAACCUAUUUCCUUUAAGGCCUCUAUCUGCAACCUCACAACCUCCCCUCCUCAUUACACACGCCAGGGCCCCGGCUCCUGCAGUUUGCCUCACUCCCUCUGCAAUGGAAAUAUCCUCAAAGCUGAAGGGAAUCAGGCUCAGAGGUGCUUGGCUUAGGAGAGGCAGGGCUGGGCUGGGCUGGGCUGGGCUGGGGUUGGGGGUCGGUACCACCAACCCUGAGCAGGGGCAGUCCUGCAGGACAGGAUGGGGCUGGAGUUCCUUGAGAGAGUGGUCAGAGGUGGGGCAGGCCAGGUCCCUGGCUCUGGGACUACCAGGUCUGUGACCCCUCUGAGCCUCCAUUUCCAGAAUUUAAGUCUUUUGUGUAUCACUUUCAAAAUGCUCACCAUGUUUAUGUAUAGCUGUGCUAUUAUUUACUUACUGAGUCCUUCAAAUCUCUUUUCUUAAUUUGCUGCAUUCUAAAUAAUUUACAAAACCAUAGAUUUGAUAUGCUAGCUGUUGGAGUUACAAAGAAAAGCCUGUCCGUGUACCACCUAAAGUCAAGGUGUAAAUGCUCUGGGAAAGGUAAGAUUGAAAAUCAGGGGGCUGAUAAUGGAAGUGAUUGGUGGAAUGUGGAAAUGGCGGCUGCAGUCAAGGGGGCGGUCGGAAAGCAGCAGUGGAGUCUGAUGGACUUUCACUAUCUUCAGAAUUUGGUUUUAGCCCGGUGCUCUGAGCUGAGGAAAUUUCCACUCUUACUCUGCUCCACACCCAGGGCGUCGCACCUCUUGUCUCGUUGCUGCAGCCAGCGCCUACUUAAUGGGCACAGCUGCGAUGGAGAGUCCGAGCCUGGGGGACCAAGGAGCUGCCCCCGCGAUCACCUUUAGUGAGUGCCUGAGCCCAGACUGGCAGUGUGACCUUUGCAAAGAAGACGUUGCCGUGGGAUUGGAAAGAGUAGAAGAUGAGAAACAAAUGAUGAUAAAAAGGAGUAGGGAGUGUAAUCCCCUGCUACAAGGACCCAUUGCUUCUACAUUGGAUGGUACUGCAGUGAGAGAAAGCCAUAAGUCUGUCCCAUGUGGAUGGGAAAGAGGUGUGAAGCAAAAGUUAUGUGGGAAAACAGCAGGAAGAUUUGAUGUAUACUAUAUCAGACCACAAGGACUGAAGUUCAGAUGCAAAAGUUCACUUGCUAAUUAUCUUCACAAAAAUGGAGAGAUGUCCCUUAAGCCAGAAGAUUUUGACUUCUCAGUACCUUCUAAAAGGGUCAUCAAAUCAAAAUAUAAAGCCUGCAGCAUGGCAAUUCUGACAUCCUAACUGCAAAAUGAAAAUAAAAAUUCAAACUGGAACAUCAGGACACGAAGCAGGUGCAAAAAAGAUGUGUUUCCUCUGCCAAAUAGUAGUUUGGAGUUGCAGGACAGCAGAGGACUAUAUAACUUUACUUCUACAGAUUUGCUUUCGGAAGAAGAUAAGGGCAUUAAUGAUGUUAACUUCAGAAAAGUUAGAAAGCCCAAAGGAAAGGAGAUUAUUUCGAAAGGAAUCCCACUUAAGAAAACUAAAAGAGGAUGCAGGAAGAGUCUUUCAGGUUCCAUUCAAAGUAACAGAAAAAGAGAAUCUGUGUAUAAUACAGAAGAUGCUGAAAGUGAGCCUAUUGCACAGGAAAGUCAGCUUGAUAGAACUUUCUGCAUUUCUGACAGCAGAGCAAGUGACGAGGCCCUCAGCGUGACCAAUGAAGAGAAGAACCUUGCAAAAGAAAAAUCAUUGAGUUCAGGAUCAAAUUUUUAUUUUGAACAAAUAGAUUCUGGCAUCACAAACAAAUUAUGUUUGACUAAAGAAGCCGAACACAAAGAAGUAUGAGGAUACCUUAGUGUCUGAAGAAAUCAGAACAAAAGUAGAAGUUGGGGAAAGGAAGGAACAUUUCCCUACUGACAUUUUAAAAUGUGGCUCUGAAAUGGACAACAAUGGCUCACCAACCAAGAAGGACUUUACUUCUGAGGAAAUAUUUCAAGGUACACUGUGCCUUAAAGCAGUAUUAAACAUUAUGUGAAGGAGUUUGUACUCCUGGAUCUUGUAUUUCAUGGCUGUACAUGGUUAAGAUACAGGAAUAGAACCAAGAAAUAGGGCCUAAAACCAGACAUUUACCAGUUGAGCCUAAUACCUUAUCUAACUGAUCUUCAAGCCCUUUCCUGUGAUAGAAAAUCAGUGGGCCGCUGGUAUAAUGCCCCAGCAAAGCUCCCUGGUGUAAUAGUUGGGCCUUUCCUCCCUAGUGUGCUUUCGCUUCUUUCCCUCCUUUUUCCAGUCAGUAAUCUUAAGACUAUAAGGAAAAUUAAAAGGCUUUACUUGUCAAAAAAGAAAGAAAAAGUCAGGGGGCUGCUCUCGGUACUCACUAAGGGUCUUCCCUUCUUUUGGGGUUCCCACAUCCCAUUCACCUGCCUUGGAAGGGAGCCCGCAAAAAAGGAGAGGCUCUGGGGUACAAUCCCAGGUGGGACAGGAAGAGACAACCCACCUGGACCCAAGUGAGGGAAGAUGCUGGGGUGGGGGCAGGAAGGGUCAGCAAGGCCUUCCAGGGGCCUCAGGGGAUCUUGGAACUCAGAGCAGGUCUGACUCACGUGUCCCAGGAACCAUGUGAACCAGGCUCACUUCCUGGCCUCCUUCCUUCUUUCUUUUCUAUUUCUGUUUCCAGAGUUCUCUCUGGGGCAGGCUCCCCCUGCUCCCCCAUGAGCAGGCUGGACUCACUGGGCCCAACACCUCUUGGUUUUCAGACUCCUCCCUCUGUGCCCACCCCUCCUACAUGGGGCUGAGCCCCAGGGUUCCCACAGAGGUCACAGUCACAAUAAAGAAUGGGAGGAUUGCAGGGAGGCCUGCCCCAGAGGGCAGAGAGAAAGCAGGAGAAAGCAGUAGCCUUUCUUCUUCAUCCUCCUUGGGGAGCUAAUUACAGGCCAGCAGGCACUGCCAGGUGAGCGCCUGGGACUAGCCACCCCACACACCAGGGCAGGCCAGCCAGCCUCUCCUGGGGACAGCAAUGACCUGGAGACGGGGAGGGUACUAGCAGAGAGACACUUUAGACAUCCUCAGCUCAGGGCCCAUAAUUAGUUUGUGGGAUGAGAGAAAAACAACCAUCCUCAGGGUGAUAGCCAGACAUUCAGGCGGCAGGGGUGUGGGGCGGGGGAGGGCAGAGAGGAAGGGACAGAAGCUGGGGCAAGAGGAACCUACUCAUUUGCCCCACAAGCAUUUCCCCCCAGAAUCUUGGACUCUUCCAGCCUCCUGGACUCUGCCCCAGAGGGGCCCAAUGCGUCUAGCAGACUGGGAGGCAAGACAAAUCUAUUUGCCAAGGGAGGGGUACCUGUCAGUUAUUUCCUGCUUCUCCUGCAGGGGAAAUCAGGUAAGGGGACCUGGCCAGAGCAGAAGUUGAGAAGCUUCCCACCAGGUAGCCAGGAGUCACCCACCUACAAGCCCAUGGUAUGGCCCUGAGGCAGUGCUGGAGCUGUUAGUCCACACAAGCCUGUUGGGGAGGGCAGUGGACCAGGAGCAGGGGGAGGGCAGCUGCACCAUGGAGUCUUGUCCCAAUCCCACGCUACUGCGCAGGGGAUUCCCUGAGCGGCCCACUCCUUACGAGCUCAGUCAACCAGACUUGGCAGCCUCCAGGCAGCACCCCAAGGAGGAACACAUCUGAUCCCAGGUGAGCCAUGCUCUGGAGGAGAGGGAGUCCCAGAUGUGGCCCACAUGAUGAAGCAGCAGAGGGGUAGGGCUCUUAAGACCUCCCCACCAUCCCUGGACACCCCCCCAACCCUUUCUUAGAAUGUGACCUCCUGCGACCUCUGUUUCUGUGUGGGUCAUCAAGGGGGCUGAAUAAAGGAAUCUGAAGAUCUUCUAGAGGGGCCCAUGAUUCACAUCCUGAAACCUCAAACAUGUGCUGUCCCUUUACAAGCUCAGAAGCAUUAUGCAGAUUAGGAACCAAGGCAGAGAUGGGGAGCUUUGGUUUACUCAAAGUCACAGAUCAAGUAAUUCUCCCCCACGGGGUCAGAUCAGCUACAGGCCAGCUCCUUCCCCUCAGCCCUGUGGUGCAUUUUGUGAUGAUGCCCAAUUCUGACUUCAAAGCUAUUAGGGUUUUGUGCUUGUUUGUGUGACCACAUGAGGUGAGUGGGACUGUUCCAGGCAUGGAUCUACACCCAGCCAUGCUGUUGCCCUGGCAGGGGUGACACCUCCCACCCCUGAGACAGGAAAGUACAGCCCAGGGAGGGAGCUCACAUGGGGACAUCCAGGAUACCCUGACACACAUUCAUCACCACAAAGCCCCACAGAAAUAGGCCCCCAUGCAGGGGGAUUGCCCCCCACAGGGAAAUAGUGGACCUGACUGAAGACAGACUCAGGCAUUCCUGGGCCCACUCCCCUCACUCUUGGCUUCAGUUUAGCAGGGCUCUGCGGGCUCCAGCUCCUUCUUUCCCUGGUCCUGGUUCCCACCCCAUGGGAAAGUCCCUCUGUGGUCUAAUAAGUGUCACUCUCUCAGAGGAGGGACAGUCCCUGGUCUCUGGAGAUGGAUCAUUCAUUGGCUUCUCUGCCCUGGGCCAGAAAUGCAGGAGCCAUCAGAAACGUGCUCAGAGAGGGGAGGAAGCUCUGUGCUGGCCCCAAACAGGCUCUGUCGCGUCUCUAGCCCCUUGCCUUGGCAUUAGUCAGGGUACCCUGACCAGGCUCCUGCCCCAGACAGAGGUCGACCUUGCUAACUCUCUGCUCCUCUUCCAGACAGGGUCCCUCUUGCCCAUCUCCUCUGCCCUCCCCUGCCCCCCAAGCUGGGAGCAGA